GAUGAACGCUGGCGGCGUGCCUAAUACAUGCAAGUCGAACGAGUGGCGGACGGGUGAGUAAUGUCUGGGAAACUGCCCGAUGGAGGGGGAUAACUACUGAAAACGGUAGCUAAUACCGCAUACCAUCGGAUGUUCCCAGAUUGGAUUAGCUAGUAGGUGGGGUAACGGCUCACCUAGUCGACGAUCCCUAGCUGGUCUGAGAGGAUGACCGGCCACACUGGAACUGAAGCACGGUCCAGACUCCUACGGGAGGCAGCAGGGGGGAAUAUUGCACAAGGGGCGCAAGCCUGAUGCAGCCAUGCCGCGUGUAUGAAGAAGGCCUUCGGGUUGUAAAGUACUUUCAGCGGGGAGGCGUUACUCGCAGAAGAAGCACCGGCUAACUCCGUGCCAGCAGCCGCGGUAAUAC
This 406-nucleotide ribosomal RNA is filed under the name uncultured bacterium. RNAcentral describes it as "partial 16S ribosomal RNA". It matches the Rfam family "Bacterial small subunit ribosomal RNA", at positions 28 to 526 of the family's 1533-position model. The record is from RNAcentral.